CAAGUUGCACAAGCCAUUGCCUGCUUUGUUCGUGUAUAUUUUGGCUUUGUCUGUUCAUGAAAGAGCUGGAUCUCACUGCUGUGGUGGAAGUUUGCUCAGCAGAGUGCUGCAGAAUGGCUUUUCUGCUCUCUCUGAAGAUCUGGGAUGAAGAACCAUGACCCAGGGAGAUUUGUUCUGAGCAGAAUCUGAAUCUGUACCUGCAAUCAUUACAUGAUUUUUCUUCAUUAGAGAGGACUGUGUAUACCUCUUUCUCUCACUUGACCAGCCUGGGUACAGGUAUCACCUCCUAUGCACAGCUGGAUUGAACCAGAACACCUGGAACUGUGACAAUUUAAAGCUGUCCGACCUGACUCCUGGAAGCUGCACCAUGUAAGAUGCAGGUUCUGUUCCAUUGCCAUCUGCAGCCUGACAUGGAGGUGACUCCAGAUGAGGGCUGAUUGGCUCAGACAUACUGACAAGAGUGCUCUGGGAUUUUUAUUCCUGGGAUUAUCAAAAAGUAUGGAUGCACAAUUACUUCUAGUUGUUUUACUUCUGGAGAAGAGCUAGUUCCUGGUCUGAGUGUUUGCCUUUGAGAUGUUCAUCAGUGGAUGCUGCAAGAUGACUAAAGUCAUUCUAGAAUUUGGACCCCAUCAGCAAAGAACCAGGUGACCAUAAAUCACAUGGUCAGAUAUUACAUCAGCUUCUUAUCAUUUACUGGCAAAAACACUGUAUAUCCAUAAUAAACAAUGGAAUAAUAAAAGCAAAAAGAAGCCCCUGAUUAUUUUUCACAUUUUGGUAUGAAUCUGCCUCAUCCGUGUUUUUGUGUUUCACUUACUGUCAAUAUUCUAUCAAACAAAUUCAUUGAGCGAAGAUCUAUGGAUUUUAGAAGGUUACAGGCUAUCUAUAGGGAAUAAGAGCUGACACCAAUUUGAUUAAUGAUCUGAUAUAAUAAAAACUUAGCCCCUCAAAAUAUAUCAAAUCUCGGGAAAACAAACAAACAAGCAAAACAAAACAAAACAAAAAAUCAAACAACAACAACCACCAACAUUGAGUUAAUUCUAAAUUGUCCAAAUGUUCACCUUUUUUGUAGCCGGGAGAGCAGAGAUGUUACGGUUAACCUCCUGCUAGGCACGUACACCAGAUGUUACACUACUUAAUAAUGUUGCACUUGCACGUGUGUGGUGAUCUAGAGCAUCCAGCUCAGGCACUUGAAUUUCUGCAGUGAAGCGUUGUAUGCAGCAGCACGGUAUUGGGUGCUUCUUGGCAGAAACCCAACUAGUGACAUACUGAGCAGCUUACUGGUGAGAAAGGCUACUUGCCAAGGUAUGUUUGAGCUCCCUCCCUUUCUGGCA
This is a long non-coding RNA of Columba livia (rock pigeon), 1331 nucleotides long. RefSeq lists it as uncharacterized. NCBI's taxonomy places the organism in Eukaryota, Metazoa, Chordata, Aves, Columbiformes, Columbidae. The record is from RefSeq and is a predicted model, not a curated record. The transcript is spliced from 4 exons.